AGGCCUUCGGACUGGCUCAGGGAGGUUGGCAACGACCGCCCAGAGCCGGAAAGUUGGUCAAACUUGGUCAUUUAGAGGAAGUAAAAGUCGUAACAAGGUUUCCGUAGGUGAACCUGCGGAAGGAUCAUUACCGUGCCGUGGCAGCCGGCCCUCAAAAAGCCUGGCUGCUCACCUGGCCACCCGUGUUUACUUUACCUGUUGCUUCGGCGGGCCUGCGGGCUUGCUUGCUGCCGGGGGACCCUGGUUCCCGGGCUCGUGCCCGCCGAAGACCUUCUAAACCCUAGUUAAAGAUUGGCGUCUGAGUGAUUAAGAAAUCAGUUAAAACUUUCAACAACGGAUCUCUUGGUUCCCACAUCGAUGAAGAACGCAGCGAAAUGCGAUAAGUAAUGUGAAUUGCAGAAUUCCGUGAAUCAUCGAAUCUUUGAACGCACCUUGCACCCCUUGGUAUUCCGAGGGGUACGCCUGUUUGAGUGUCGUGAAUUCUCUCUCAAAAAUCUCUUUUUGUCUUCUUCUUCUUAGAAGGGAAGAGAAUCGAGCUUUUUGGACUUUGGAGGUUGCUGAUUGCACUUUUGCUUGAUUGGCUCUUCUUGAAUACAUUAGCAAGGCUCUUGCUUUUCUGCCUUGGUGUGAUAAGUCUUGUCUACGCCGUCGGCCUUGAAGCAACUUGUGGAGCCCCUUUGCUUCUAAUCGUCCUUACUUUGGACAAGCAUUCACUUUUUUGAAACUUGACCCCAAAUCACGUGGGACUACCCGCUGAACUUAAGCAUAUCAAUAAGCGGAGGAAAAGAAACCAACAGGGAUUGCCCCAGUAACGGCGAGUGAAGCGGCAAGAGCUCAAAUUUGAAAGCUGGCUCCUUCGGGGUCCGCAUUGUAAUUUGUAGAGGAUGCUUCGGGAGCGGUCCCCAUCUAAGUGCCCUGGAAC
This 922-nucleotide ribosomal RNA is filed under the name uncultured fungus. RNAcentral's name for it is "eukaryotic LSU rRNA". The stretch from base 323 to 476 matches the Rfam family "5.8S ribosomal RNA". The record is from RNAcentral. Lineage: Eukaryota; Fungi.